GACGAACGCUGGCGGCGUGCUUAACACAUGCAAGUCGAACGGUAAGGCCCUGCUUUUGUGGGGUUCUCGAGUGGCGAACGGGUGAGUAUCACGUGAGUAACCUGCCCUUUACUUUGGGAUAACUUCAGUAAACUCGGGCUAUUACCGGAUAUGAGCUCCUUCUGCAUGGUUGUGGUUGGUGAGUUUCGGCGGUUGGGGAUGGACUCGCGGCUUAUCAGCUUGUUGGUGGGGUAGUGGCUUACCAAGGCUUUGACGGGUAGCCGGACUGAGAGGGUGACCGGCCACAUAGGGACUGAGAUACGGCCAAGACGCCUACGGGAGGCAGCAGUGAGGAAUAGUGCAAAAUGGGCGGAAGCCUGAUGCAGCAACGCCGCGUGCGGGAUGACGGCCUUCGGGUUGUAAACCGCUUUCGCCUGUGACGAAGAGUGAGUGACGGUAAUGGGUAAAGAAGCACCGGCUAACUACGUG
This 468-nucleotide ribosomal RNA is filed under the name uncultured bacterium. Its description in RNAcentral is "partial 16S ribosomal RNA". It matches the Rfam family "Bacterial small subunit ribosomal RNA", at positions 28 to 507 of the family's 1533-position model. The record is from RNAcentral.